RNAcentral lists this ribosomal RNA (465 nucleotides) under uncultured bacterium. Its description in RNAcentral is "partial 16S ribosomal RNA". It matches the Rfam family "Bacterial small subunit ribosomal RNA", at positions 28 to 507 of the family's 1533-position model. The record is from RNAcentral.
GACGAACGCUGGCGGCGUGCUUAACACAUGCAAGUCGAACGGAAAGGCCCUGCUUGCAGGGUACUCGAGUGGCGAACGGGUGAGUAACACGUGGGUGAUCUGCCCUGCACUUCGGGAUAAGCCUGGGAAACUGGGUCUAAUACCGGAUAGGAGCCAUUUUUAGUGUGAUGGUUGGAAAGUUUUUUCGGUGUAGGAUGAGCUCGCGGCCUAUCAGCUUGUUGGUGGGGUAAUGGCCUACCAAGGCGGCGACGGGUAGCCGGCCUGAGGGGGUGGACGGCCACAUUGGGACUGAGAUACGGCCCAGACUCCUACGGGAGGCAGCAGUGGGGAAUAUUGCACAAUGGGCGCAAGCCUGAUGCAGCGACGCCGCGUGGGGGAUGACGGCCUUCGGGUUGUAAACUCCUUGCGCUAGGGACGAAGCUUUUUGUGACGGUACCUAGAUAAGAAGCACCGGCUAACUACGUG